GGUAGCAGCCCCUGGUAUAUCCAGGACAUCAGCACAUAGAACCAGUGAAAGGGUCCUCCCUCAUAGUGACGCAUGUCAUAGACUCAGAUUUAUACAAACAAAUGCUGAGCAAACCAUGAAGAGUCUCUGGUAUUUUCAACAAUAUCAUCACAGAGGAACUGUAUUGAUUUCCUUUGGUCCAAGAACCUGCUGCUCCCGGGUCCUCUCAUUUGAAGACACCCACCGCCUAAGGAUGAAGAGAAGCUCCUUCUUGCAGAUCUGAGGCUGAUUUCCCAACUCCCAGGAACACCCUACCCACAGCCUGUUCCCCAGACCCAGGAACUUUUCAAAUGUAGAGGAGCCUUUAGAAGGAAGCCUUGAGCAUGAGGACAGACCCCCCUCAUCCAACCACCACCUGACUCUGUGUGAACCUGGAACUGUUAGAAUGUCUGUGCUGUGAUAAAAGGUCAUCUCCCUACAAUGUUAUGAUACAGACCUCAAACCUACAAACAUGAGGAACUUCUGCCUCCAGGUUAACUGCUUACCCACUGUACAAGACACGUUACACACAGUCCAGGAGGCGGAGCUUCUGAGAUAUCUAGAAACAGCUUAGAGGCAAAAUGACAAAAUAAAGCAGCAACAACAAAUAAAACCAAUCUUCUCGAA
Homo sapiens (human) is the source of this 645-nucleotide long non-coding RNA. Ensembl annotates it as long intergenic non-protein coding RNA 1255. The record is from Ensembl. NCBI's taxonomy places the organism in Eukaryota, Metazoa, Chordata, Mammalia, Primates, Hominidae.